RNAcentral lists this ribosomal RNA (1330 nucleotides) under uncultured bacterium. Its description in RNAcentral is "bacterial SSU rRNA". It matches the Rfam family "Bacterial small subunit ribosomal RNA", at positions 28 to 1381 of the family's 1533-position model. The record is from RNAcentral.
GAUGAACGCUUGCGGCGCGCCUAACACAUGCAAGUCGAACGGCACCUAUCUUCGGAUAGAAGCGAGUGGCGAACGGCUGAGUAACACGUGGAGAACCUGCCCCCUCCCCCGGGAUAGCCGCCCGAAAGGACGGGUAAUACCGGAUACCCCGGGGUGCCGCAUGGCACCCCGGCUAAAGCCCCGACGGGAGGGGAUGGCUCCGCGGCCCAUCAGGUAGACGGCGGGGUGACGGCCCACCGUGCCGACAACGGGUAGCCGGGUUGAGAGACCGACCGGCCAGAUUGGGACUGAGACACGGCCCAGACUCCUACGGGAGGCAGCAGUGGGGAAUCUUGCGCAAUGGGGGGAACCCUGACGCAGCGACGCCGCGUGCGGGACGGAGGCCUUCGGGUCGUAAACCGCUUUCAGCAGGGAAGAGUCAAGACUGUACCUGCAGAAGAAGCCCCGGCUAACUACGUGCCAGCAGCCGCGGUAAUACGUAGGGGGCGAGCGUUAUCCGGAUUCAUUGGGCGUAAAGCGCGCGUAGGCGGCCCGGCAGGCCCGGGGGUCGAAGCGGGGGGCUCAACCCCCCCGAAGCCCCCGGAACCUCCGCGGCUUGGGUCCGGUAGGGGAGGGUGGAACACCCCGGUGUAGCGGUGGAAUGCGCAGAUAUCGGGUGGAACACCGGUGGCGAAGGCGGCCCUCUGGGCCGAGACCGACGCUGAGGCGCGAAAGCUGGGGGAGCGAACAGGAUUAGAUACCCUGGUAGUCCCAGCCGUAAACGAUGGACGCUAGGUGUGGGGGGACGAUCCCCCCGUGCCGCAGCCAACGCAUUAAGCGUCCCGCCUGGGGAGUACGGCCGCAAGGCUAAAACUCAAAGGAAUUGACGGGGGCCCGCACAAGCAGCGGAGCAUGUGGCUUAAUUCGAAGCAACGCGAAGAACCUUACCAGGGCUUGACAUAUGGGUGAAGCGGGGGAGACCCCGUGGCCGAGAGGAGCCCAUACAGGUGGUGCAUGGCUGUCGUCAGCUCGUGUCGUGAGAUGUUGGGUUAAGUCCCGCAACGAGCGCAACCCCCGCCGCGUGUUGCCAUCGGGUGAUGCCGGGAACCCACGCGGGACCGCCGCCGUCAAGGCGGAGGAGGGCGGGGACGACGUCAAGUCAUCAUGCCCCUUAUGCCCUGGGCUGCACACGUGCUACAAUGGCCGGUACAGAGGGAUGCCACCCCGCGAGGGGGAGCGGAUCCCGGAAAGCCGGCCCCAGUUCGGAUUGGGGGCUGCAACCCGCCCCCAUGAAGUCGGAGUUGCUAGUAAUCGCGGAUCAGCAUGCCGCGGUGAAUGCGUUCCCGGGCCU